ACUAGGGGAGGAGAAGAGAAGGAAGAUUGGACAAUGGGCGAAAGCCUGAUCCAGCCAUGCCGCGUGUGUGAAGAAGGUCUUUGGAUUGUUUCUCUCUCUCAAAAAGAAAAAGAGGAAGGGCAGUAAGCGAAUACCUUGCUGUUUUGACGUUACCGGCAGAAUAAGCACCGGCUAACUCUGUGCCAGCAGCCGCGGUAAU
RNAcentral lists this ribosomal RNA (199 nucleotides) under uncultured Pseudomonadota bacterium. Its description in RNAcentral is "uncultured proteobacterium partial 16S ribosomal RNA". It matches the Rfam family "Bacterial small subunit ribosomal RNA", at positions 338 to 524 of the family's 1533-position model. The record is from RNAcentral. Lineage: Bacteria; Pseudomonadati; Pseudomonadota.